RNAcentral lists this ribosomal RNA (1194 nucleotides) under Triticum aestivum (bread wheat). RNAcentral describes it as "partial small subunit ribosomal RNA". The record is from RNAcentral. Lineage: Eukaryota; Viridiplantae; Streptophyta; Magnoliopsida; Poales; Poaceae.
AUGCCUCCCUCUGAAAAUAGGCUGAGGGACUGGGCUGGUCUCGGGGACGGGCUGGCGGGGACGAUCGCCGACCGCGUCCUCGCCCACGACGUCGCCGACUACCUCCGCUUCCGCGCCGCGUGCGGCCCGUGGCGGCGGUGCUGCGCGGACCCGCGCGCGCACGGCGGCCUCGACCGCCGGUUCCACCCCCGGCGGUGGCUCAUGCUCCGGGAACCCCGGGAGCGAAUCGACGCCCCCAACCGCCGCCGCUUCCUCAACUCCUCCACCGGCGAGUGCAUCCAGGUGCACCUCCCGGAGCUCCACAACCAGGAGGUGCUCGCCCUCACCGCCGAGGGCCUGCUCGUCGUGCUCGACUGGCCGCGGAGCACCAAGGUGCACCUGCUCAACCCGCUGACGCGCCAUCUCACCCAGCUCCCGCCGCUCACCGCGCUGGUGUCCCAUCAGGGGAACGACGGCCUCCUUUUCACCGCCGCUUUCGACACCCACUUUCCGGCCUGGGGCUCCGGCGUUCUCAGCGAUGAUUCCACGGUGGUGCUCUCCUUCAACAGGCUCAACAUGCUCGGCAUGGCAAAGCCCGGCGAUGACCACUGGACGGUGUUGAACUUCCACAAUCUGCUGCGAACGGCUUCCUCGAUGAUCGCAGGACGGUUCUACUGUGCCACCAUUGACGGCGUCAUGGUGCUGGAGGAUCAGCCGCCACGCCUGGAGCUGGCUGCCAAGCUGCCUAUGCCGGUUUCCCCGAUGGCAGACACUCUGCACCUGAUGGACAGUGCCGGAGAGCUGACGCUGGUGCACCGUAGGUUCUCGCGACACCAUGACAACAAUAACGCGGCCAAGAGGAGGUACGACGUGUAUCGACUGGAUCUGGGCGCCGGGACUUUGUGCCGAGCCAACAGCUUCGGCGGCGGGGGACAUGCCUUGUUCAUCGGCAUGUACUGCUCUCUCUCGGUGCCUAUCAAGGCCUUCCCUUCUGGCGCCAUUAGAGGCGACACCGUCUACCUGAGCUUCGACAUUGCAGAGAGGAACCGAACUGAGGGCUACCGUCUUGCAGACAGAAGCGCCAUUAGCAGCGAUAGCCUGAGCUCCCACUCGGCGCUGCAGCCGCAUAAUCUUGUCGACUGUCUCUCCUUGUGCAGCACUGGUCGGAUCUGGUGUCACUUCGAAAAACAUCUUGUCAGUCAUUGUAGACGAUAG